RNAcentral lists this ribosomal RNA (501 nucleotides) under uncultured bacterium. RNAcentral describes it as "partial 16S ribosomal RNA". It matches the Rfam family "Bacterial small subunit ribosomal RNA", at positions 30 to 523 of the family's 1533-position model. The record is from RNAcentral.
AUUGAACGCUGGCGGCAGGCUUAACACAUGCUAGUCGAGCGGGGGAAGGUAGCUUGCUACCGGACCUAGCGGCGGACGGGUGAGUAAUGCUUAGGAAUCUGCCUCUUAGUGGGGGACAACAUCUCGAAAGGGAUGCUAAUACCGCAUACGUCCUACGGGAGAAAGCAGGGGAUCUUCGGACCUUGCGCUAAUAGAUGAGCCUAAUUCGGAUUCGCUAGUUGGUGGGGUAAAGGCCUACCAAGGCGACGAUCUGUAGCGGGUCUGAGAGGAGGAUCGGCCGCACUGGGAGUGAGACACGGCCCAGACGCCUAGGGGAGGCAGGAGUGGGGAAUAUUGGACAAUGGGGGGAACCCUGAUCCAGCCAUGCCGCGUGUGUGAAGAAGGCCUUAUGGUUGUAAAGCACUUUAAGCGAGGAGGAGGCUACUCUAGUUAAUACCUAGGGAUAGUGGACGUUACUCGCAGAAUAAGCACCGGCUAACUCUGUGCCAGCCGCCGUGGUAA